UACAGAGGGGGCAAGCGUUGUUCGGAUUCAUUGGGCGUAAAGGGCGCGUAGGCGGCGCGGUAAGUCGGGUGUGAAAUCUCGGAGCUUAACUCCGAAACUGCAUUCGAUACUGCCGUGCUUGAGGACUGGAGAGGAGACUGGAAUUUACGGUGUAGCGGUGAAAUGCGUAGAUAUCGUAAGGAAGACCAGUGGCGAAGGCGGGUCUCUGGACAGUUACUGACGCUGAGGCGCGAAGGUCAGGGGAGCAAACGGG
RNAcentral lists this ribosomal RNA (253 nucleotides) under uncultured bacterium. RNAcentral's name for it is "partial 16S ribosomal RNA". It matches the Rfam family "Bacterial small subunit ribosomal RNA", at positions 524 to 776 of the family's 1533-position model. The record is from RNAcentral.